ACUGUGCUAAGGUAGCAUAAUCAUUUGUUAUUUAAUUGAUAACUAGAAUAAACGGUAUUACAAAAAUCAAGCUUUAAUUUUUUAUAUUAGAAAGUUUAUUUUUAAGUUAGAAAGCUUAACUUUACUAAAAAGACGAUAAGACCCUAGAAUCUUUCCAUUUUACUGGGGUAGUAGUGUUUUUUUUAACAAACUCUUUUUAAACUAUUUAGAUUUAUUUAUUCCUGAAUAGAAAAAAAGAUACUCUAGGGAUAACAGCGAUAUCUUUUUUCAGAGCCCUGAUCGACAAAAAAGAUUUCGACCUCGAUGUUGAAUUAUAGAAACUUAAAGAAGAAGAAUUCUUUAUAGUAGGUCUGUUCGCCCUUUAAUUCUAUACGUGAUCUGAG
RNAcentral lists this ribosomal RNA (383 nucleotides) under Burmoniscus ocellatus. Its description in RNAcentral is "partial 16S ribosomal RNA". It matches the Rfam family "Bacterial large subunit ribosomal RNA", at positions 1945 to 2609 of the family's 2925-position model. The record is from RNAcentral. Lineage: Eukaryota; Metazoa; Arthropoda; Malacostraca; Isopoda; Philosciidae.